CUUCUUCUUCUUCUUACGACGUAAUUCUGUUUUAACCCCACAAAAGUCACUGCUAUCGUUUUGGUGAGAAGGCACGCCAACAAGGGGACGGCGGAUGAUUCUUUGCGGGGUGAAUUCCAUCAAGGUGUGCGCACACAGGUUCUCAGCGUCAGAAAUGGCCAAAUCACUUGUGGUCUCCUGUGUAGCUAAUAAAAGGAAGAGAAAUGAUUUCGUCAAGGAGAGCCAUUUAUUUCACAGUGUCCUGAUCCCCUGGCCUACCUGGCAGACAGUGUGCCAAGGCAAAGUUCCAAGUGCAAAAGCCAAUCCAUACAAGCCAAGUUCAAAGAUCAGGAAACACAGUCCAGGGUCAGUCCAAGUACGCCAAUAUGGGCGUUCAGCAGUCAGGAUACAGACCAGAGUCAAUCUCGAAAUAGAAACCCAUGAAGGUCUGAGGAGAAUCCCAGGUGAGAGUCUCUCUGGCUUGUUGGCACAUCAUCUCUGCACCCGGUGAAACCUAACCAGUUAUUUAGUGGCAAGCGAAAACCAAUGGGAAAGGAUAAAACCACUGAUCUUUAGGCAGAUCAGAUUAGGCGUGUUUCGGGUAAGUUUGACUGAGUUAUCCUGCCACUGAGCCAGGUUAACGACUUGUCCUGUAUUCAGACUGUGAACUCACAGGCCAUGGAAUAUCUCCUGAGCUAACCAGCAGCAAGAAGUGGCUAUCGGGGUGGGAUCAGGUGCUUCAGAGAACCUGCAGGAAUUCUGAGAGAAAGAGGGUGCUGCUUUGGUGCUGUCCAGAACCCUACUGAGGCCUUUAUUUCAUUAAGUUUAUUAUUGCAUUUUGGGGACGCAGGUGACGCUGUGGUCUAAACCACAGAGCCUAGAGCUUGCCGAUCGGAAGGUCAGCAGUUCGAAUCCCCGUGACGGGGUGAGCUCCCGUUGCUCGGUCCCUGCUCCUGCC
Molecule: long non-coding RNA, 937 nt
Organism: Podarcis raffonei (Aeolian wall lizard)
Lineage: Eukaryota; Metazoa; Chordata; Lepidosauria; Squamata; Lacertidae
Exons: 4
Source: RefSeq, a predicted model, not a curated record